UCCACCCAGCCCCACUAUUAAAAACCUCUCACAUAAGAGCUCUCCUUUAUAUGUAAUUACCUCAAGCACCUGGGGCAAGGCUGUUAUUAUUACUCUCAGUUGUGGAACAGGAGAGCUUAGUAUGACUGCUGGAAGAAGAGUUAGCUCCUAAGUGUAAAAGCCUGGUGGCUAUUUGCCCCUAAGAAAAAGCUAAUAGGCCAGUUAAUGGCCUGAUGGAAGAAACCACAAGCAAACUUGAUUUUAUGACUGCACAGUUUUUGUCAUCUACAUUGGAAGAGAGAUCCUUAAGGAGGAGAUGAUUAUAUAUGUAAGCCAUUACAAGAAGAAAAGUGGGGGGAAAAAAUCUGUCU
Molecule: long non-coding RNA, 350 nt
Organism: Oxyura jamaicensis (ruddy duck)
Lineage: Eukaryota; Metazoa; Chordata; Aves; Anseriformes; Anatidae
Exons: 2
Source: RefSeq, a predicted model, not a curated record